AGACUCAACUAUGGGCACAAUCUGUGUGGCUCCUGCAUCAAUAUAUCGUGGAAAGUUCUAGAUAAUACCUUUUUCAAGUCUGUCUGCCAUUUUUACCGCCCAGACGAAAACUUCAGGCAAAAUCUCUAGCUUGGUAAUUUGACUGAAAUUGAUAAGAUACUACAGAUGAGAAAAAACAACAAGAAAACACAGGAUAGAAUACCAGGUAUAAUAAAUAUAAUCAAUUUCUGGCUUUUCUCUGUGAAAAGAACCUAGAGGUUCUGUAAAUACAGUGCAAUUUCUCCUCAAAACAAUGGAAGCAUUACAUUUGCCCCAUUAAGAAUGCUGCCUCCACCACAGGAAAAUUCUUAAAUGUAGCAUUGAAUUUGAAGAAUAGUGUGGAAGGAAUUGAAACAGUGAUAAAUUUGUAAGCCAACAAAUCAAUGGAGCUGAAAAAAAAUGUAGGAGAGAAGAAAUACAUUCUGAAUCUGAGCAACUUAAAUUGUUUUUACUGAGUGAUCAAGAGACUAUUAUUAGGCAGAUGCAAGAUGAAGGGAUGGAAAUUAUAAAAACUUAAAAACCUUACACAAUUCUCAGAUCAUGUAUUCACAUUAAAAUAUCUAGGGAGGGAGGUAGAAAGCACAUAUGUGCACUCUGAACUGGAAUUACUGAAGUUACAAAUAUUCACCUGAAUGAUAGAAACUCAAAAUAUCCUAAUUUAUUUUCAUUUUGAUUAAAAAAAUAUGAAUUCUGUCUUCUACAAUAUUCUGGGUUGGAUGAAAUUAUUAAGCUAUUUCAAGCAGAUGUGAUUAUGUAUCUUGAAACAGCACAUCCUCACCUUAACAUCUUUGAGUAUAGAAAAAUUAUGUAAUAUGGAAAGAAAAAACACAAUCUUUAUUAUAAAACAAGAAAGCUUUUUUUCUGCUCUGCUGUCCAGAUUCUAAGAAAUGUAAUUAUGGCAGGCAUUACUGGGAGGUAAAAUUGAGUAACAACCCUAAAUGGAUGUUGAGGGGUUCUCAAGACUGUCUUGCUCAGAAAUGACAGAAUCAGCUAUUAUUUCUGGGUGUUCUUGUGCAAUUGGGGGAUAUGCUCAGAGCAGUUAUAUUGUAUUGAGUCGAAGAGAAUCCGGCUUCUUCCAAUAAUAAGACCCAGUAAGAUGGGCAUUUUUCUAUACUAUGAGUUUGGUGAGGUUCCCUUUAAUAUUAAGAAUUUACAGAUUUCUUCUGUACACUUUUAAUGGUUAUUUUACAGAAGCCUUUUGACUUUAUUUUUAUACUAGAACAGAUUUCUGAAGCUCUUAAAAA
This 1283-nucleotide long non-coding RNA is filed under the name Homo sapiens (human). RNAcentral describes it as "non-protein coding lnc-SLITRK6-25:1". The record is from RNAcentral. Lineage: Eukaryota; Metazoa; Chordata; Mammalia; Primates; Hominidae.